GGCUCUCCAAAGUUCAUUGAAAUGAAAGAAUGAAUGAAACAAAAUCAGAUUAAAAAGAAGAAGAAAAGAUUCUCUUGAGUUGUCGUAUACAUGCAACGAAGAGUAGGGUGGCACAUAAGCACAUUUAAAGGAGAUUUUGGGGUUUUUUCUUUAUUUUCUCCUUUAUUCUUGAUCUCUCCUUCCCUAUGGAUCUCGCCAAGCUUUGCAUGGUCAUCACUACCCCAAGUUAGGUAUCACUAAAGAUGCUAUUUCCAAGAAAAUCAAGUUCGAAGACUUAUCUAUUAGCAAGAAACCCAAGGCCACGAACAAAGAUGACAAAGAGACCAAGAGAAGUGUAAUAGCUAGCAGAUUGAACAAGGUCAUGAUCAAAGGUGGUUCAAGCCAUAUUGUGCAUGUGAGUUGUGUUUUUUGCAUUGUUUUGCAUCUUUAUUGUCUAAUGUUGGUCCAAAUUGUGCAAAAAAAUUUUAUUCAUUGUUAAAGGUGUAGUAGUUUUGUUCAUGAGUCCAAAACUUAUGAGGUAAAAUACUUAACUUGGUGCGUAAAUGUUUACAAGUCCAAACUUUAUGAAAAUACUUACAUUGGUAUGAAAUUAUAACAAUUUUUAGAAGGCAUAAUGUUUAUGUUACUUUACUUUUAUUCAAGUACUUUGGAUGAAAGUGGGGCACUGGACAAAGCUGGUAGUAAUUAUGCACACUAUGAAUAUAGAUAAUAUAUUUGUUCACUUAUAUUUUAAUUGUUUUAUGAAAUUUCAAUAUUGAACUCA
Molecule: long non-coding RNA, 763 nt
Organism: Theobroma umbraticum
Lineage: Eukaryota; Viridiplantae; Streptophyta; Magnoliopsida; Malvales; Malvaceae
Source: RefSeq, a predicted model, not a curated record